Molecule: long non-coding RNA, 394 nt
Filed under: Panax ginseng (ginseng)
Lineage: Eukaryota; Viridiplantae; Streptophyta; Magnoliopsida; Apiales; Araliaceae
Description: long non-coding RNA (PGIN_LNC012708)
Source: RNAcentral
GUUGAUCCAAUGUUUUUCAAGAAAAUAGAAGUGUAAACAUCAGAACGAAGUCAAUAAAUUUUGAAAGUCUAGUAUAGCUAGUAGAUUUAGAAUACCUAUGCUUCCACCAUCAACUCCACUUUCUAUAAUGAUCCAUUGCUUAAUAGGUCUAUCUAUUCCUAUCAUCCCUAAUACUCCAUCACUUAAUUAUACCCCAGUUCAUCAAACUUACCGCACAUUGGAAGUUUAGGACUUGCCACAAUAAUUUGAGUUUAAGAACUUAUCCUAGUCAGACCAUAGGCGUCCAUUCGCUGAGGGGUUCAUAACAUACCAUAUUAUUAUGAGUCACGAACUUACCAUAUGCAUUAGUUUUAAGAACCGUACCUAAUCCUUAUAAUAUCUAACUAAUCUUAAU